This 129-nucleotide small nuclear RNA is filed under the name Nelumbo nucifera (sacred lotus). Its description in RNAcentral is "U2 spliceosomal RNA". It matches the Rfam family "U2 spliceosomal RNA". Rfam says of the family: U2 is a small nuclear RNA (snRNA) component of the spliceosome (involved in pre-mRNA splicing). Complementary binding between U2 snRNA (in an area lying towards the 5' end but 3' to hairpin I) and the branchpoint sequence (BPS) of the intron results the bulging out of an unpaired adenosine, on the BPS, which initiates a nucleophilic attack at the intronic 5' splice site, thus starting the first of two transesterification reactions that mediate splicing. The record is from Rfam by way of RNAcentral. Lineage: Eukaryota; Viridiplantae; Streptophyta; Magnoliopsida; Proteales; Nelumbonaceae.
AUACCUUUCUCGGCCUUUUGGAUAAGAUCAAGUGUGGUAUCUGUUCUUAUCAGCUUUUAAAACAUUUCAAAUGCUGUCAAUGGUCUUCCAUACACACGAUGAAACCAUCUUAUUCUACUUUCACUCAUU